This 250-nucleotide ribosomal RNA is filed under the name uncultured bacterium. Its description in RNAcentral is "partial 16S ribosomal RNA". It matches the Rfam family "Bacterial small subunit ribosomal RNA", at positions 524 to 773 of the family's 1533-position model. The record is from RNAcentral.
UACGAAGGGGGCUAGCGUUGUUCGGAUUUACUGGGCGUAAAGCGCACGUAGGCGGGUCGUUAAGUCAGGGGUGAAAUCCCGGAGCUCAACUCCGGAACUGCCUUUGAUACUGGCGACCUUGAGGCUGGAAGAGGUUAGUGGAAUUCCCAGUGUAGAGGUGAAAUUCGUAGAUAUUGGGAAGAACACCAGUGGCGAAGGCGGCUAACUGGUCCAGAUCUGACGCUGAGGUGCGAAAGCGUGGGGAGCAAAC